Molecule: long non-coding RNA, 1556 nt
Organism: Pygocentrus nattereri (red-bellied piranha)
Lineage: Eukaryota; Metazoa; Chordata; Actinopteri; Characiformes; Serrasalmidae
Source: Ensembl
CACUCAUAUACACACUAAGCCUCUCUCUUGCUCUCACUUUGUGGUAUUCUGGUGAGAAUGUGCUGAAGAUUUUGUCUGUUUCUCCUUCUUUGGUUUGUUGACCUUAUGGAAGAUCAAUCCAGGCGGAGUUCUGUCUGUCUGGACACAUUAUAAUGGAUUAGAGAUUAUGCUGAUGUUGAGUGUGGCUUCAUGACUGCAGGAUUAUCUCUGAAGUGGGUGUGGAUGUGUGUGCGCGCAUGUACGGAGAUCCCGAGCUAAGUUGAGCUGAUGCAGUGUGUUAUACAGUGGGCAUGGAGGAACGUCGUGCCCUGAAGGGGUGUGGCUGUUCAAACCUCUUUCAGAAAGUUUUGGCCACGUGUGAAUGCUACUCCAUCAGAGAUCAAGAGUCUUUCUCAGGACUCACUGAUGUCACUCCAGACACUUCUGCCCACUUUGUUCCCCCUGGUGACCUAUCUCCCAUCUCCUCUGGUGACCACUGGCCAGCAGCCCCAAGCACUCAAACCCCCUCAUCUCCCCAGCACUCUGUCAAAGCUCUGAGGCAGUGGCUGAGUGGCCCCUUCUGCAGGUUCAGCCUGGGACAAAGGAGCAAAGGCCAGAGGCCAGAGGUCAGAAAUAACCCAGAUCGACGGCCCUUCCCGUUUGUGCCGCUCUCACACAGCUAUAGUACAGUGAGCACUGCGCAGGAGUCCAGUUGCCAGUCACCUACAGAUGGACCACCGGAAUUGAACGGGGCUUCAGAAGUCAAAGUAGCUGAUGAUUCAGUUUAUCCCAGCCACAUAACUGAUCUCAUACAGAACCAUCAUUCCUGCCAACUGCUCCCUGGUGAAGGCAGUUCCUCUGUGACUGAUGAGAAAUUCAGCCAAUCAGUGGGUCUUGAAGACAGUGAAGAGGACAGAAAGAAUGCCUUAGAAAAAAGCAUAUAUGUUCUAUCAGAGCUGGUAGAGACAGAAAGGCUAUAUGUGGAAGAUCUAGGCCUCAUAGUUGAGGGCUACAUGGCCACUAUGAGUAACAGUGGAGUUCCAGAGUAUAUGAAAGGCAAAGAUAAAAUAGUAUUUGGAAAUGUUCACCAAAUCUAUGACUGGCAUAAGGACUACUUCCUUGGUGAACUGAAGAAGUGUGUGUCUAAUCCAGAGCAGCUGGGGCAGCUCUUCAUCAAACAUGAGCGGCGUCUUCACAUGUACGUGGUGUACUGCCAAAACAAGCCCAAGUCUGAGUGCAUUGUCUCAGAGUACAUAGACACCUAUUUUGAGGAUUUAAGACAGCAGUUGGGCCACAGGCUGCAGCUGAAUGACCUGCUGAUUAAACCUGUUCAGAGGAUCAUGAAGUAUCAGCUUCUACUCAAGGACUUCUUGAAGUAUUAUGUUAAAACAGGGAAACACACAGAAGAACUUGAGAGCGCGGUUGAGGUGAUGUGUUUUGUUCCUAAGCGAUGUAAUGAUAUGAUGAAUGUUGGGAGACUGCAAGGUUUUGAGGUGAGCGAAAAGAAACACUUCCCUUGUUUUUUCCCUACAUUUGUCUCACAGCGCUUCAAGAAACACAUAAGCAAGUCUAUUUGA